This 509-nucleotide ribosomal RNA is filed under the name Pichia kudriavzevii. RNAcentral describes it as "eukaryotic LSU rRNA". The stretch from base 134 to 286 matches the Rfam family "5.8S ribosomal RNA". Lineage: Eukaryota; Fungi; Ascomycota; Pichiomycetes; Pichiales; Pichiaceae. The record is from RNAcentral.
UCCGUAGGUGAACCUGCGGAAGGAUCAUUACUGUGAUUUAGUACUACACUGCGUGAGCGGAACGAAAACAAAAACACCUAAAAUGUGGAAUAUAGCAUAUAGUCGACAAGAGAAAUCUACGAAAAACAAACAAAACUUUCAACAACGGAUCUCUUGGUUCUCGCAUCGAUGAAGAGCGCAGCGAAAUGCGAUACCUAGUGUGAAUUGCAGCCAUCGUGAAUCAUCGAGUUCUUGAACGCACAUUGCGCCCCUCGGCAUUCCGGGGGGCAUGCCUGUUUGAGCGUCGUUUCCAUCUUGCGCGUGCGCAGAGUUGGGGGAGCGGAGCGGACGACGUGUAAAGAGCGUCGGAGCUGCGACUCGCCUGAAAGGGAGCGAAGCUGGCCGAGCGAACUAGACUUUUUUUCAGGGACGCUUGGCGGCCGAGAGCGAGUGUUGCGAGACAACAAAAAGCUCGAUCUCAAAUCAGGUAGGAAUACCCGCUGAACUUAAGCUUAUCAAUAAGCGGAGGA